CGUCAAUUCUGCAGCACGGAAUCUUUUUUUUUGAAGGUGCGUUUUCCGGUUUUUUCUAUCACGCUACGAACUAUUCAAUAUUAAAGUUACAAUGUGAUACUUAAUAAUAUCAAAGAUGGCUUUAUGAGCAUAUUUUACCUGGUUAUAACAAAUUAUGCUACAUUUAAUGAAAAUUAAUUUCUUCUGAGAAAUGUAUAAGUACAUCAAUAUGAUUUUAUGGAUUUCUGCUUGUAUUACUUGAUGUAACUAACAAUGGACUUGGCUUUGACUACAGUAAUAAUUCAUUUCUAUAGUCAAUAUAUUAAUAAUGCAAGUAUCAUGGAAAUGUCAAACGUUCACAAGGGAUAUUUAUAUUUCUGGAGCACCGUGGAACACAGUGGGUCUGGAGAAUAUACCUGAUGAAUAAAAAGUACAAAACCUAUAAGCAAACGCUUAUUGAGAUUUUAGGAUUUUAGACUCAAUAUAUAAAGUAAGAUACAACAAUAUCACUAAUACUAUUUAAAUGUAUUCACAACUGAUUACUUAUCAUCAUUUUAUACAGUUGCAAUAUGUACCAAUGUACUUUUGAAAUGUUACAUGUAUCACUGAUACAAAAUAUCUUCGAAUAUUUUGUAUCUUUUAGCCGACGUAUGAAGUGUACCCGGUAUUGUUUCCAGAAUUCAAAUCACCUUAUAUCAACAUGCAAUAUUCAUUAUAUAUUGUAUACAUAUUCAUAUAUUUAUGAUUAUCAGUAUGAUAGCAUGCAUUAUCAUCUGCUUAACUUUUUCUUCAUAUAUAUUACCAACAUUAAAUUAUACAAAAUAUAAUCUUUGGAACGUAUUUAUCAAAUUUACAAAAUGACAAAAUGAUUGAAUUCAUACUAUAUUAAUUCCACAUUAUGAGUCUUGCUCAUCUAUAAAUAACACAUAUUUUAAUCUUUAGAAUGUCAUCGUUAAUAAAUAAUAUUGGUAGACUGUAUGAAAAUAUAUAGUAAUUUAAAUACUCAUGUGCAAUUUUUU
Molecule: long non-coding RNA, 998 nt
Organism: Vespa mandarinia (Asian giant hornet)
Lineage: Eukaryota; Metazoa; Arthropoda; Insecta; Hymenoptera; Vespidae
Source: RefSeq, a predicted model, not a curated record